CCUACGGGAGGCAGCAGUAGGGAAUCUUCCACAAUGGGCGAAAGCCUGAUGGAGCAACGCCGCGUGGGUGAAGAAGGUCUUCGGAUCGUAAAACCCUGUUGUUAGAGAAGAAAGUGCGUGAGAGUAACUGUUCACGUUUCGACGGUAUCUAACCAGAAAGCCACGGCUAACUACGUGCCAGCAGCCGCGGUCAUACGUAGGUGGCAAGCGUUGUACGGAUUUAUUGGGCGUAAAGGGAACGCAGGCGGUCUUUUAAGUAGGAUGUGAAAGGCGUGGGCUUAACCGGAGUAGUGCAUUGGAAACUGGGAGUCUUGAGUGCAGAAGAGGAGAGUGGAACUCUAUGUGUAGCGGUGAAAUGCGUAGAUAUAUGGCAGAACACCAGUGGCGAAAGCGGCUCUCUGGUCUGUAACUGACGCUGAGGUUCGAAAGCGUGGGUAGCAAACAGGAUUAGAUACCCCAGUAGUC
Molecule: ribosomal RNA, 465 nt
Filed under: uncultured bacterium
Lineage: Bacteria
Description: partial 16S ribosomal RNA
Rfam family: Bacterial small subunit ribosomal RNA
Source: RNAcentral